CCUACGGGAGGCAGCAGUGGGGAAUAUUGCACAAUGGGGGAAACCCUGAUGCAGCGACGCCGCGUGAGUGAAGAAGUAUUUCGGUAUGUAAAGCUCUAUCAGCAGGGAAGAAGAAAGCCGGUACCUGACUCCGACGCCCCGGCUAACUACGUGCCAGCAGCCGCGGUAAUACGUAGGGGGCAAGCGUUAUCCGGAUUUACUGGGUGUAAAGGGAGCGUAGACGGCUGUGCAAGUCUGAAGUGAAAGCCCAGGGCUCAACCCUGGGACUGCUUUGGAAACUGUGGAGCUAGAGUGCUGGAGAGGUAAGUGGAAUUCCUAGUGUAGCGGUGAAAUGCGUAGAUAUUAGGAGGAACACCAGUGGCGAAGGCGGCUUACUGGACAGUAACUGACGUUGAGGCUCGAAAGCGUGGGGAGCAAACAGGAUUAGAUACCCUUGUAGUC
This 441-nucleotide ribosomal RNA is filed under the name uncultured bacterium. RNAcentral describes it as "partial 16S ribosomal RNA". It matches the Rfam family "Bacterial small subunit ribosomal RNA", at positions 338 to 795 of the family's 1533-position model. The record is from RNAcentral.